AUUGAACGCUGGCGACAUGCCUUACACAUGCAAGUCGAACGGUAACGGGCCUUCGGGUGCCGACGAGUGGCGAACGGGUGAGUAAUGUAUCGGAACGUACCUUUCAGUGGGGGAUAACGUAGCGAAAGUUACGCUAAUACCGCAUAUUCUGUGAGCAGGAAAGCAGGGGAUCGCAAGACCUUGCGCUGAUUGAGCGGCCGAUAUCAGAUUAGCUAGUUGGUGAGGUAAAGGCUCACCAAGGCGACGAUCUGUAGCGGGUCUGAGAGGAUGAUCCGCCACACUGGAACUGAGACACGGUCCAGACUCCUACGGGAGGCAGCAGUGGGGAAUUUUGGACAAUGGGGGCAACCCUGAUCCAGCCAUGCCGCGUGAGUGAAGAAGGCCU
Molecule: ribosomal RNA, 385 nt
Filed under: uncultured bacterium
Lineage: Bacteria
Description: bacterial SSU rRNA
Rfam family: Bacterial small subunit ribosomal RNA
Source: RNAcentral